ACACACACACACAGCUUAUUAUAUCGUUUUCGUUUCGUUAUCUCGAGAUCUCGAGAAAAUUAUCUCGUUAUCUCGGGAAAACGGAGGAAAUAAAAUGUAUGAAUGCAUGGCCGUUUAGGGCUUCCGUACAUCACGAUGGUUGCAGCGUACCACCUUUAACGUAUGCACUCAGUUAGGUUGGGUUUAAAACAACUACGUUACGCAUCUCUGUUACUUACGUAAGUAAUGCAAAUGUAUGUGACGUAAAUUAAUUACGUUACCAAGUUAAAAUAACUGCCUUAUAAUAUUUACAGCCACUAGAGGUCAGCACCUAACAGGAAAUGUAAAUACGGGUCACAAUAACCUGCUUUUACAUCGUCCUCAUUUUUACAACCACCACUGCUAGUGAAAAUCCAUCUACGUGACGUACCGUCACCAUGAAUACAAUGUAAGUAAACACCUCAACAACAUAUAUAACAGACGUCGAGUCGUCUUUUAAACUGAUUCUACUGACGGGCAGCUCCAGUAAAGAUUAUAUAACUCUCCUUCAUUCUAUUCACAUUAAUGCACUUGAUAAAAACAGUCAGUAAGAUUUACAGCGUACCCUCAUAAUUUAAGUCCAAAAGUCUUAAAACUGUCUUCUUACAAAGAUGAAUAUGAUGAGUAGGGCUGGUUUGUUUUGCUUUUCAUCCCCGCGUUCAGGGUCACAGUCAGUUUGAUGCUCGCGGCGUCGGUCGGUUGCUACGGGUUACGCGGCAGAGAUUGACUGACGGUGGCAUUCGCUCACUUUGUGGCAGCUCAUAAAGCGACGAGGGAAGACAGGAGCCAGAACAGCGCUGCCAGCCGCAGACAGGCGUGUGUGCUGCAGGCUGACACAGAGAGACUCCACACAACAACAAACCGGGCCAGCUCCGUUUGGUGGCCAACAUGCAGCUGUGAUCAAAAGAGCGCUUCUCCAGGGGGGGAGCAGGGCGGCCCGGCGGUGAGGCCCGACUCUGUUCAUAACUGGAAGGUCACGGGUGCGAUUCCCUCAGCAGGCGGCGCGUCAAUUAUCGGUCAGGUGCGGCCGGCGAAUCCCUACCUGCUCGCUAAACUGCCUCACGCUCCGAAUACGUGCCGAAAAUGUUAAUGUGGCGCGCACAAGCCCCCGAGGAUGUGACACGUUUCCUGCUGCAAACAUAGCUUGUUGUGACAGUCCAACCAUCUGGACCACGGGCGCCGUGCUCAAGGGCAGAUAAAAGACAUUUGCCCGCUGUUUUUUUCUUUCUGCAAUCCUGUGCUGAUUUCCGACCUGAUAUUCUGACCUAGAUGAAAUAAUCAGCUGUGGAGAUAUUUUUGCAAAUUGCAUCGCCG
This 1332-nucleotide long non-coding RNA is filed under the name Sparus aurata (gilthead seabream). RNAcentral describes it as "lncRNA (ENSSAUG00010013537.1)". The record is from RNAcentral. Lineage: Eukaryota; Metazoa; Chordata; Actinopteri; Spariformes; Sparidae.